GACGAACGCUGGCGGCGUGCCUAAUACAUGCAAGUCGAACGAACCGCGACUAGGUGCUUGCACUUGGUCAAGGUGAGUGGCGAACGGGUGAGUAACACGUGGGUAACCUACCUCAUAGUGGGGGAUAACAGUCGGAAACGACUGCUAAUACCGCAUAGGACAUGGGAUCACAUGAUUCUGUGAGGAAAGGUGGCGCAAGCUAUCGCUAAGAGAUGGACCCGCGGUGCAUUAGCUAGUUGGUAGGGGAACGGCCUACCAAGGCGAUGAUGCAUAGCCGACCUGAGAGGGUGAUCGGCCACAUUGGGACUGAGACACGGCCCAAACUCCUACGGGAGGCAGCAGUAGGGAAUCUUCCGCAAUGGACGCAAGUCUGACGGAGCAACGCCGCGUGAGUGAAGAAGGUCUUCGGAUCGUAAAGCUCUGUUGUUAGAGAAGAACAGCGCAUAGAGUAACUGUUAUGCGUGUGACGGUAUCUAACCAGAAAGCCACGGCUAACUACGUG
Molecule: ribosomal RNA, 502 nt
Filed under: uncultured bacterium
Lineage: Bacteria
Description: partial 16S ribosomal RNA
Rfam family: Bacterial small subunit ribosomal RNA
Source: RNAcentral